CAGGGAAUUUUGCGCAAUGGGCGAAAGCCUGACGCAGCGACGCCGCGUGGGUGAUGAAGGCCUUCGGGUUGUAAAUCCCUUUUCUGGGGGAAGAGUUUGGACGGUACCCCAGGAAUAAGCCCCGGCUAACUACGUGCCAGCAGCCGCGGUAAUACGUAGGGGGCAAGCGUUGUCCGGAGUUACUGGGCGUAAAGGGCGCGUAGGCGGCCCAGGAAGUCCCCGGUGAAAUCUCCCGGCUCAACCGGGAGCCGCCCGGGGAUACUCUUGGACUUGAGGACGGCAGAGGAGGGUGGAAUUCCCGGUGUAGUGGUGAAAUGCGUAGAUAUCGGGAGGAACACCAGUGGCGAAGGCGGCCCUCUGGGCUGUACCUGACGCUGAGGCGCGAAAGCGUGGGGAGCGAACCGG
This 405-nucleotide ribosomal RNA is filed under the name uncultured Chloroflexota bacterium. RNAcentral's name for it is "bacterial SSU rRNA". It matches the Rfam family "Bacterial small subunit ribosomal RNA", at positions 355 to 776 of the family's 1533-position model. Lineage: Bacteria; Bacillati; Chloroflexota. The record is from RNAcentral. RNAcentral also lists the same sequence under 1 other name.